GAUGAACGCUGGCGGCGUGCCUAACACAUGCAAGUCGAGCGAUUCUCUUCGGAGAAGAGCGGCGGACGGGUGAGUAACGCGUGGGUAACCUGCCCUAUACACACGGAUAACGUACCGAAAGGUACGCUAAUACGAGAUAAUAUGCUUUAGUCGCAUGGCUGAAGUAUCAAAGCUCCGGCGGUAUAGGAUGGACCCGCGUCUGAUUAGCUAGUUGGUAAGGUAAUGGCUUACCAAGGCGACGAUCAGUAGCCGACCUGAGAGGGUGAUCGGCCACAUUGGAACUGAGACACGGUCCAAACUCCUACGGGAGGCAGCAGUGGGGAAUAUUGCACAAUGGGCGAAAGCCUGAUGCAGCAACGCCGCGUGAGCGAUGAAGGCCUUCGGGUCGUAAAGCUCUGUCCUCAAGGAAGAUAAUGACGGUACUUGAGGAGGAAGCCCCGGCUAACUACGUGCCAGCCGCCGCGGUAA
This 468-nucleotide ribosomal RNA is filed under the name uncultured bacterium. RNAcentral's name for it is "partial 16S ribosomal RNA". It matches the Rfam family "Bacterial small subunit ribosomal RNA", at positions 28 to 523 of the family's 1533-position model. The record is from RNAcentral.